GAAGGGCGUUUGGUGAAUGCCUUGGCAGCAAGAGGCGAUGAAAGACGUGAUACUCUGCGAUAAGCCAUGGGGAGCUGAGAAUAAGCUUUGAUCCAUGGAUUUCUGAAUGGGGCAACCCACCUGAAUGUUUGUUAUUGUUAGCACUGCUAAUCAAUAAUGGGCAUAACCAGGUAUUUAUGACCUGAAUACAUAGGGUUAUAAAGGCAAACCCGGGGAACUGAAACAUCUAAGUACCCGGAGGAAAGGAAAUCAAUUGAUACUCCCCUAGUAGCGGCGAGCGAACGGGGACCAGCCGAGCCGGAUAAGUGAGAAGAACAUGUUGGGAAGCAUGGCCAUAGCGGGUGACAGCCCCGUAUUCUAAGCUUUGACGGACGUAUUAAGUAGGGCGGAACACGUGAAAUUCUGUCUGAAGAUCGGAGGACCACCUUCGAAGGCUAAGUACUCCUUGCUGACCGAUAGUGAACCAGUACCGUGAGGGAAAGGUGAAAAGCACCCCGACGAGGGGAGUGAAACAGUACCUGAAACCGAACGCCUACAAUCAGUCGGAGGCUCCUUGCGAGCUGACGGCGUACCUUUUGUAUAAUGGGUCAUCGACUUGGUCUCACGAGCAAGCUUAAGCCGUUAGGUGUAGGCGUAGCGAAAGCGAGUCUUAAUAGGGCGAAUGAGUUCGUGGGAUCAGACCCGAAACCGAGUGAUCUAGGCAUGGCCAGGUUGAAGGUAAGGUAACACUUACUGGAGGACCGAACCCACAUCCGUUGAAAAGGAUCGGGAUGAGCUGUGCCUAGGGGUGAAAGGCCAAUCAAACUCGGAGAUAGCUGGUUCUCUGCGAAAUCUAUUUAGGUAGAGCGUCAUCCGAAUACCCCGGGGGGUAGAGCACUGGAUGGGUAAUGGGGCCCCACAGGCUUACUGAUCCUAACCAAACUCCGAAUACCCGGGAGUACUAGAUGGCAGACACACUGCGGAUGCUAACGUCCGUAGUGGAGAGGGAAACAACCCUGACCUACAGCUAAGGCCCCCAAUUCAUGGCUAAGUGGGAAAGCAGGUGGGACGACCAAAACAACCAGGAGGUUGGCUUAGAAGCAGCCAUCCUUUAAAGAUAGCGUAACAGCUCACUGGUCUAAAUAAGUUGUCCUGCGGCGAAGAUGUAACGGGGCUCAAGCCAUGAGCCGAAGCUUAGGAUGCCGUAAGGCAUGGUAGCAGAGCGUAGUGUGACAUAGUCUCAUUCCUCCUUCACGUCUUCGGGCGGAUUGGAGGAGAGAGGCUUUCGAUGAAGCCGGCGCGUGAGCGAUCCGGUGGAGAGAUCACUAGUGAGAAUGAUGACAUGAGUAGCGACAAAGAGUGUGAGAGACACUCUCGCCGAAAGUCCAAGGGUUCCUGCUUAAAGCUAAUCUGAGCAGGGUAAGCCGGCCCCUAAGCCGAGGCCGAAAGGCGUAGGCGAUGGGAACUAGGUUAAUAUUCCUAGGCCGUGGAGUGGUG
RNAcentral lists this ribosomal RNA (1476 nucleotides) under Ruegeria denitrificans. RNAcentral describes it as "bacterial LSU rRNA". It matches the Rfam family "Bacterial large subunit ribosomal RNA", at positions 13 to 1456 of the family's 2925-position model. The record is from RNAcentral. Lineage: Bacteria; Pseudomonadati; Pseudomonadota; Alphaproteobacteria; Rhodobacterales; Roseobacteraceae.